Ictalurus punctatus (channel catfish) is the source of this 5457-nucleotide RNA transcript. It is a transcript of the gene named protein phosphatase 1, regulatory subunit 12A, with no coding region annotated. NCBI's taxonomy places the organism in Eukaryota, Metazoa, Chordata, Actinopteri, Siluriformes, Ictaluridae. The record is from RefSeq and is a predicted model, not a curated record. The transcript has 27 exons.
GUUUAGUGGCGGUAUAAAGUACUGAGAGAGAGAGAGGGAGAGAGAGAGAGAUUAUAAAGCAGGGCAGGGAAAAAAAACUCUUGGGGGAAUGAAGAUAUGGCGGACGCCAAGCAGAAGCGGAACGAGCAGUUGAAGCGAUGGCUGGGUUCGGAGACGGACCUCGAGCCGCCGGUACUGAAGAAGAAGAAGACGAAGGUGAAGUUCGACGAGGGCGCCGUGUUCCUGGCCGCCUGCUCGAGCGGAGACACCGAGGAGGUGCUGCGGCUGCUGGAGCGCGGAGCCGACAUCAACUACGCUAAUGUGGACGGGCUAACCGCUCUGCACCAGGCGUGUAUAGAUGAUAACGUGGACAUGGUGACAUUCUUGGUGGAACACGGUGCCUGCAUCAAUCAGCCAGAUAACGAGGGAUGGAUCCCCCUGCACGCCGCCGCUUCCUGCGGAUACAUGGACAUCGCAGAGUAUUUGAUCAAUCAGGGUGCGAAUGUAGGCGUGGUUAACAGUGAGGGAGAGACGCCGCUGGACAUCGCUGAGGAAGAACCCAUGGAGGAGCUGCUGAAAAACGAAAUCAACCGACAAGGUGUGGAUAUAGAGGCGGCGAGGAAGGAGGAGGAGCGCAUCAUGCUACGUGACGCACGUCAGUGGCUAAAUAGCGGGCAAAUAAACGAUGUCAGACACGCCAAGUCAGGAGGAACGGCGCUGCACGUCGCCGCUGCUAAAGGCUACACGGAGGUUUUAAAGCUUUUAAUCCAGGCAGGUUAUGAUGUAAAUAUUAAAGAUUAUGACGGCUGGACUCCUCUUCAUGCUGCUGCUCACUGGGGGAAGGAUGAAGCCUGCAGGAUCCUGGUGGAGAACCUCUGUGACAUGGACGUCGUUAAUAAAGUGGGUCAGACGGCGUUCGACGUGUCGGAUGAAGAUGUCUUGGGAUAUUUAGAAGAGUUACAGAAGAAACAGAAUCUGCUGAUGAGUGAGAAGAAAGACGCUAAGAAAUCCCCUUUGAUAGAGACUACCACUACAGCGGAUAAUAACCAGUCCACUAAACCGGCCGUGAAGAGUAAGGAGACACUGUUACUGGAGGUGGAGAAGAACACUCCUCGCAUCGAGAACCUGGAGUCGGAGAAAGCUGAUGAUGUGGAGGAGGUGAAGAAGGACGAGUCGAGCUGCUCCAGUGAGGAUGAGGACGAAGAUGACUCGGAGUCUGAGAAUGAAGCAGAUAAGACCAAAUCAGCCGUUCCGGUCAGUAACUCCACCAGCUCUGUCCCCGCCCCCACCACCAUCCCAGUCUCCGCCUCCAGCAACACUCCAGUCACGCCCACCUCACCAGUCAAAAAGGUGAGUGUACCUGCAGGUAAAGUGUCCCCUAAAGAGGAGGAGAGGAAGGACGAGUCGCCGGCGUCAUGGAGACUGGGCCUGAGGAAGACAGGAAGUUACGGUGCGCUGGCGGAGAUCAGCGCCACUAAAGAGGCUCAGAAGGAGAAAGACCCUAGCGGGGUGAUGCGCUCUGCCUCCUCGCCUCGCCUCACCUCCUCACUGGAUAACAAGGACAAGGAGAAGGAGAAAGAGAAGUCUCUAGUGUAUGUGGCUCCCACUUUCCCAAGAAGACACCUGAGUGUAUCAGACAUGGACGAGAAGGAAAACAGGGACUCGGCUGCUACUCUGGUGCGCAGCGGUUCUUACACACGGAGACGCUGGGAUGAAGAUCUGAAGAACAACGACACAACCUCCUUGAACCGAAUGUCCAGCUACCAGCGCAGCACGUCACACACUUUAACACUCGGCCGAAGCAGCAGCUCUCGCGAUCUUCCUGCAAAAUCAUCUUCGGCUUCCAGUCUGGAUCCUACCAGCACUAAAGCCUCAUCGUCCUACUACCAGUCUUACAGCAUACACCGCAGCGGAUCGUUUGGAAGGAGGCAAGACGACGCUGUGAGCUCCACUUCCUCCACUGUUUCCACGACGACAAGUUCCACCUCCACUACCACUAUUACCUCACCUACAGGGCAUCGCAGUGUGUCCAGGUAUUGGUCCGAGGAUGGUGCUGAGAAAGAGAAGGAGUCAGCGACUGUAAUCCCCACCAUUAACACUGCAGCCACCACCACCACCACCACCACACACACUACUGCAGGAGAUGGCAGAGAGAGACGCAGAUCAUACCUCACUCCUGUGCGUGAUGAGGAGUCAGAGUCUCAGAGGAAAGCUCGAUCUCGACAGGCUCGACAGUCCAGAAGGUCCACACAGGGCGUGACCUUAACUGACCUCCAGGAGGCGGAGAAGACCAUUGGACGCAAUCGUCCAAUCCGGUCCCGAGAGGAAGAGAAGGAAAAAGAAGAGAAGGAAAAACAGGAUAAGGAGAAGAAGGAGGCGGAGACAAAGGAGGACGACUAUCGGUCACGCUAUCGCUUCGAGGAGCGAUUCCGCACCCCCUCCUUCAGCUCGUCCACUUCCACUACUGUGCCAACGUCCUCUGUCACUUCUUCCUCUCUCUACACUUCCUCCUCCUCUUCCUCGCUGAACCGCCCUGACAGUCUGAGUGGAAUCACGCCCAGCUACAGGAGCUCCGCCCGCGACACUGAGAAAGAUAAGAAAGAGGAGGAGAAGGAGGGAGAGGAUAAAACUCAGCCUCGCUCUAUACGUGAUCGCAGACGCCCUCGAGAGAAACGACGCUCUACCGGAGUCCCGUUCUGGACCCAAGAUAGUGAUGAGAAUGACCCAGAACAGCACUCGGACUCUGAGGAAGGAAGCACUAAAGCAGAACCUCAGAGUGAAAGACUCUUACGAAAUGAUGGCGUGUCCUCCGGUUCAUCCCUCACAGAUCGUUACGAUCACAGAGAGAGCCGCCGUUCCUACUCGCGCCUCGACCGAGAGGACAACACUGACUACAAGAAGCUUUAUGAACAGAUACAAGCUGAAAAUGAGAAGCUCAAGUCUCAGUUACGUGACACACAUCUUGAGUUGGAUGAUCUGAAGCGGCAGCUGGAGAAGGCCACACAGGUGAGGGGAUUACAGAGACAGGAGCGCUUCGCUGAUAGAUCACAGCUGGAGAUGGAGAAAAGGGAAAGACGAGCUCUAGAAAGAAAGAUCUCUGAGAUGGAGGAGGAGCUUAAGAACCUCCCGGAGAUAAAGCAGGUUCAGGCUCUGAGGCAGUAUAAUGAGCGAUUGCAGGCGGAGAACAGAGCUUUGGCCCGCGUUCUCUACAAACUGCCCGCUGCUGAUCUAUAAGCCCCGCCCACUCGGUUUUACACGUUCCGUUUUGGCUCCGCCCUCUCCUGUAGACAGACGCUACCCGACUUGAAGGCAGACAACCAGAGGCUAAAGGACGAGAACGGCGCUCUGAUCCGAGUCAUUAGUAAACUUUCUAAGUAGAGCAGUGCCCCCUGUGUUCAGUGUGGGGUAUUACAGGCUGAGAGCCGUGUUACAGCAAACACACAACAAAACACAUCCAUCCUCCUCUAUCUCUCUAUCACUCGCUCACUCUACUUGUCCUCUAAUGGCUCACUUCUUUUCUUGAUGUUUGGUCUGGCUGCUGCAGUACACUCACUCACUCGCGCACACACACACACUCACUCGCGCACACACACACACACACGUCGGCAGUUUACAGGGCAGAGAGAAGGCUUUAACCCACACGCCUUCGUUUGUACAGAAAAAAAGGAAAUAAAGAAAAACAGUUUAUUGGUGCCACAAAUUUUCCUUUAUUUUCCUUCUCCUUCCUGCACACUGAGUGUAUCUCUCUCGCCCACCUUCUCCCUCUCUCACUUUUUCCCUCUUUUAUCCUCCCUUUCAUGUAGAAGCCCCGCCCCAUUUGUUCUCCCUCUGUGGUACUGCUUCUCAGCAGCGGAUUUCCCAGGAUUCAGCAGUGUUGGUGCACGAAACCUGAACCCCCGCCAACCCUCCUCUCUCACACACACACACACACACACACUCACACACACUCACACACACACACUCACACUCACACACACACUCUCCUCUGUGUGAGUUCUGGUGGAAUGUUGAGCUUUCACUGAAUGUGCAAUACGCCUCCUUUAUAAACAACGCUUGAACUGGCAGCAGGAAGAAAAGUUCACUUCUUUCUCUCCUUCCUUUGUUCCCUUCGAUUCAGUGCUUGUCCCUCCCCCUUUUUUCGUUCUUCCACUUUCUUCUCAGUUCUCUGCUCUUAAUCUUUCCCUCUUCAUUCUUUUUUCCCCUCUGUACAUUAUUUUUAAAAUCCCAAGUUUUAUUUUUUUUGUUCUGUUUUUCUCCUCCCUCCUUCCUCCUUUCUUCCAUCUUCCUCACCACACUUCCUUUUUCCUCCUUCCUCCUUUACUUUUAUUCCUCCUCUCUCCAUCCUCUUCCUCCUCUCUCCAUCCUCCUCCUCUCUCCAUCCUCUCAUCCUCUUCCUCCUCCUCUCUCCAUCCUCUCAUCCUCUUCCUCCUCCUCUCUCCAUCCUCUUCCUCCUCCUCUCUUCCUCCUCUCAUCCUCUUCCUCCUCCUCUCUCCAUCCUCUUCCUCCUCCUCUCUCCAUCCUCUUCCUCCUCCUCUCUCCAUCCUCUUCCUCCUCCUCUCUCCAUCCUCUUCCUCCUCUCUACAUCCCCCAGGCCGUCAGUAGUGUGUGUAGUGUUUAGGCGGCGGUGUUUAAUUAAUCCUCACGGUGUUUUUAGCAGGUACUGAGUGAAGCUGUAUAUAUACCUGUACGUAUCGUAUUUGAGACGAGCACAUGGCAUGCGUUGAUGCUUUUCUCCGUCGGUUACUGUUCGAACAUCGCGGCUCCAGCGGACGAAAGUGUGUUUUAAAUAUUUUGUUGUUUUUCUUUUGUUUUUUUUAUUUUAUAGUGCUGUUGAAUAACGGUAGUGCCGCCGCCCCUCGUAUGGUAUAAGGGGAGGGGCUCCAGUGCAUCCUUUUUUCAGUUUUAAGAGAAAUAAAUAUUCACCGUAAUUGUGACAUAAGAAUAAUAUAAUACGACUUCACUACUUUUCACACGCGUUGAGUGCUCUUCUGUAUUUUAUUUUGUUUUCCUCCUCCUCCUCAGUGCUGUUAGUAUUAGCCGAGGUGUCGUCACUAAAAAAUUAAAGCCUAGAUACCGCUAACCCCAGUCCUUCCUUUAUUCUUCUUCUUUUUUUUUUUUUUUUUUUUUUUUACAUUUUAAAUAAAAACAUCUACAUGCACUGUCCACGCCAUGGCUGGAGUCUCGUGUCCAUUAUUUUUUAUCGAGAGUCAGAGCGAAUCAGAGAUUUUAUGCAUUUCAGUGGCCUUUUAAAAUGAAAAUGCUGUAGUUUAAAGAGAAGAGCGGGGAAAAGACUGUUGGACUCUCCUCUUUGGUUUAGGUUUUUAAUUUUUUUUUUUUUUUUUAAAUGUUUAUUUUUCCUCCUUUUUUUAUUUUAAAUAUCCCAUCAUUGUAUAAUAGAUGUGUGGCUUCCUACAUGCGAGCUGUGCUGUGACUACCAACCACUGAGAGUUCAAAUAAAGUUGUACAUUGUAAAAACUC